UCCUGACAGGUGGUCCUCUCACUUGAAAGGU
RNAcentral lists this non-coding RNA (31 nucleotides) under Rattus norvegicus (Norway rat). Lineage: Eukaryota; Metazoa; Chordata; Mammalia; Rodentia; Muridae. The record is from RNAcentral.